This 2902-nucleotide ribosomal RNA is filed under the name Salmonella enterica subsp. enterica serovar Ouakam. Its description in RNAcentral is "bacterial LSU rRNA". It matches the Rfam family "Bacterial large subunit ribosomal RNA". Lineage: Bacteria; Pseudomonadati; Pseudomonadota; Gammaproteobacteria; Enterobacterales; Enterobacteriaceae. The record is from RNAcentral.
GGGUUGUGAGGUUAAGCGACUAAGCGUACACGGUGGAUGCCCUGGCAGUCAGAGGCGAUGAAGGGCGUGCUAAUCUGCGAUAAGCGCCGGUAAGGUGAUAUGAACCGUUAUAACCGGCGAUACCCGAAUGGGGAAACCCAGUGUGACUCGUCACACUAUCAUUAACUGAAUCCAUAGGUUAAUGAGGCGAACCGGGGGAACUGAAACAUCUAAGUACCCCGAGGAAAAGAAAUCAACCGAGAUUCCCCCAGUAGCGGCGAGCGAACGGGGAGGAGCCCAGAGCCUGAAUCAGCAUGUGUGUUAGUGGAAGCGUCUGGAAAGGCGCGCGAUACAGGGUGACAGCCCCGUACACAAAAGCGCAUGUGCUGUGAGCUCGAUGAGUAGGGCGGGACACGUGGUAUCCUGUCUGAAUAUGGGGGGACCAUCCUCCAAGGCUAAAUACUCCUGACUGACCGAUAGUGAACCAGUACCGUGAGGGAAAGGCGAAAAGAACCCCGGCGAGGGGAGUGAAAAAGAACCUGAAACCGUGUACGUACAAGCAGUGGGAGCNNGUGACUGCGUACCUUUUGUAUAAUGGGUCAGCGACUUAUAUUCUGUAGCAAGGUUAACCGAAUAGGGGAGCCGGAGGGAAACCGAGUCUUAACCGGGCGUUAAGUUGCAGGGUAUAGACCCGAAACCCGGUGAUCUAGCCAUGGGCAGGUUGAAGGUUGGGUAACACUAACUGGAGGACCGAACCGACUAAUGUUGAAAAAUUAGCGGAUGACCUGUGGCUGGGGGUGAAAGGCCAAUCAAACCGGGAGAUAGCUGGUUCUCCCCGAAAGCUAUUUAGGUAGCGCCUCGUGAAUUCAUCUCCGGGGGUAGAGCACUGUUUCGGCUAGGGGGCCAUCCCGGCUUACCAACCCGAUGCAAACUGCGAAUACCGGAGAAUGUUAUCACGGGAGACACACGGCGGGUGCUAACGUCCGUCGUGAAGAGGGAAACAACCCAGACCGCCAGCUAAGGUCCCAAAGUCAUGGUUAAGUGGGAAACGAUGUGGGAAGGCCCAGACAGCCAGGAUGUUGGCUUAGAAGCAGCCAUCAUUUAAAGAAAGCGUAAUAGCUCACUGGUCGAGUCGGCCUGCGCGGAAGAUGUAACGGGGCUAAACCAUGCACCGAAGCUGCGGCAGGUUGGGUAGGGGAGCGUUCUGUAAGCCUGUGAAGGUGGCCUGUGAGGGUUGCUGGAGGUAUCAGAAGUGCGAAUGCUGACAUAAGUAACGAUAAAGCGGGUGAAAAGCCCGCUCGCCGGAAGACCAAGGGUUCCUGUCCAACGUUAAUCGGGGCAGGGUGAGUCGACCCCUAAGGCGAGGCCGAAAGGCGUAGUCGAUGGGAAACGGGUUAAUAUUCCCGUACUUGGUGUUACUGCGAAGGGGGGACGGAGAAGGCUAUGUUGGCCGGGCGACGGUUGUCCCGGUUUAAGCGUGUAGGUGUGUGUUCCAGGUAAAUCCGGUUCACUUUAACACUGAGGCGUGAUGACGAGGCACUACGGUGCUGAAGCAACAAAUGCCCUGCUUCCAGGAAAAGCCUCUAAGCAUCAGGUAACAUCAAAUCGUACCCCAAACCGACACAGGUGGUCAGGUAGAGAAUACCAAGGCGCUUGAGAGAACUCGGGUGAAGGAACUAGGCAAAAUGGUGCCGUAACUUCGGGAGAAGGCACGCUGACACGUAGGUGAAGUGAUUUACUCAUGGAGCUGAAGUCAGUCGAAGAUACCAGCUGGCUGCAACUGUUUAUUAAAAACACAGCACUGUGCAAACACGAAAGUGGACGUAUACGGUGUGACGCCUGCCCGGUGCCGGAAGGUUAAUUGAUGGGGUCAGCGCAAGCGAAGCUCCUGAUCGAAGCCCCGGUAAACGGCGGCCGUAACUAUAACGGUCCUAAGGUAGCGAAAUUCCUUGUCGGGUAAGUUCCGACCUGCACGAAUGGCGUAAUGAUGGCCAGGCUGUCUCCACCCGAGACUCAGUGAAAUUGAACUCGCUGUGAAGAUGCAGUGUACCCGCGGCAAGACGGAAAGACCCCGUGAACCUUUACUAUAGCUUGACACUGAACAUUGAGCCUUGAUGUGUAGGAUAGGUGGGAGGCUUUGAAGCGUGGACGCCAGUCUGCGUGGAGCCGACCUUGAAAUACCACCCUUUAAUGUUUGAUGUUCUAACGUGGACCCGUAAUCCGGGUUGCGGACAGUGUCUGGUGGGUAGUUUGACUGGGGCGGUCUCCUCCUAAAGAGUAACGGAGGAGCACGAAGGUUGGCUAAUCCUGGUCGGACAUCAGGAGGUUAGUGCAAUGGCAUAAGCCAGCUUGACUGCGAGCGUGACGGCGCGAGCAGGUGCGAAAGCAGGUCAUAGUGAUCCGGUGGUUCUGAAUGGAAGGGCCAUCGCUCAACGGAUAAAAGGUACUCCGGGGAUAACAGGCUGAUACCGCCCAAGAGUUCAUAUCGACGGCGGUGUUUGGCACCUCGAUGUCGGCUCAUCACAUCCUGGGGCUGAAGUAGGUCCCAAGGGUAUGGCUGUUCGCCAUUUAAAGUGGUACGCGAGCUGGGUUUAGAACGUCGUGAGACAGUUCGGUCCCUAUCUGCCGUGGGCGCUGGAGAACUGAGGGGGGCUGCUCCUAGUACGAGAGGACCGGAGUGGACGCAUCACUGGUGUUCGGGUUGUCAUGCCAAUGGCACUGCCCGGUAGCUAAAUGCGGAAGAGAUAAGUGCUGAAAGCAUCUAAGCACGAAACUUGCCCCGAGAUGAGUUCUCCCUGAGACUUUAGGUCUCCUGAAGGAACGUUGAAGACGACGACGUUGAUAGGCCGGGUGUGUAAGCGCAGCGAUGCGUUGAGCUAACCGGUACUAAUGAACCGUGAGGCUUAACCUUACAACGCCGAAG